This 337-nucleotide long non-coding RNA is filed under the name Homo sapiens (human). RNAcentral's name for it is "non-protein coding lnc-BRD1-24:1". The record is from RNAcentral. Lineage: Eukaryota; Metazoa; Chordata; Mammalia; Primates; Hominidae.
AUGGCCAAGAUCAAGGCCUGAGACCCUCGAGGGAAGAAGAGGAACUGCUGAAACAGCUGGACAACCUGAAGGUGGAGCUGUCCCAGCUGCGUGUCACUAAAGUGACAGGCGGUGCAGCCUCCAGGCUGUCUAAGAUCCGAGUCGUCCGCAAAUCCAUUGCCUGUGUUCUCAUGGUUAUUAACCAGAGAAAACCUCAGGAAAUUCUACAAGGGCAAGAAGUACCAGCCCGUGGACCUGCAGCCUAAGAAGACAUGCGCCAUGAGCCACUGUCUCAACAAGCACGAGGAGAACCUGAAGGGCAAGAAGCAGCAGUGGAAGGAGUGGCUGUCCCCGCUGA